RNAcentral lists this unclassified non-coding RNA (577 nucleotides) under Leishmania donovani. RNAcentral's name for it is "gene:unknown". The record is from RNAcentral. Lineage: Eukaryota; Euglenozoa; Kinetoplastea; Trypanosomatida; Trypanosomatidae.
CACACACCCUUCUUUGAGCACGCGCGCAGGCACAGUAAGACGAGAUGAAGCAUCGCAAAUGAUGCAGCACACACUCCCCUUUCGCCCUGCACCACGGCCGCCACCAAGACACACGCACGCAUACACGUGCUGCUGGUCCUCUGCUCCCCCUCCCCCUCCGCCCCCACCUCCUCCGCCCUCGCCCAGCAUCAGUGAUUACGCUCCGUAGGGUUUCAUGCCUUGUCUCCUGCGACUUGACUCGGCGCGCGGGCUUCGGCUCACACUUACGUCUGCUUUGUGCUCCAGCUCUGUGUGGGUGUGGGUGUGUCGUUCCUGGCAAUCACUUCAGCACCACCACUUGUUUGCCAGACAGAAAAGUAAUCGAUGGUCCGCGUAGCAAGCCCCUCGUCUCAACUCACUACCGGGCCGAGUAUGGCCUUCCCUAUCCACGCCCACGCAUAUUCGGCCCGCUCCUCUAUUCUGCCACCUUUCUCCGCCCUCCCCUCCUGCUUGGCGUCGCUGCGUGCUUCGCACGCACACACACACACACACGCAUGCACCGCCACUCUCCUUCUCCUUCCCCUCCCCCACCUUCCAG